ACGCAAUGGAGGCUCACCAACAGAACUGUGAAAACCUGGAGAUUAGGGUGUCCGACUUCCAGCACUUCGGCAAGAGUUUCAUCAAGAAGUGUAAGGUGAGCCCUGAUGCCUUUCUCCAGAUGGCACUCCAAGUGACAUACUUCAAGAACGCU
This is a long non-coding RNA of Haliotis rubra (blacklip abalone), 152 nucleotides long. RefSeq lists it as uncharacterized. The transcript has 3 exons. Lineage: Eukaryota; Metazoa; Mollusca; Gastropoda; Lepetellida; Haliotidae. The record is from RefSeq and is a predicted model, not a curated record.